CCUACGGGAGGCUGCAGUGGGGAAUAUUGGACAAUGGGGGAAACCCUGAUCCAGCGACGCCGCGUGAGGGAAGAAGUAUUUCGGUACGUAAAGCUCUAUCAGCAGGAAAGAAAAUGACGGUACCUGACUAAGAAGCCCCGGCUAACUACGUGCCAGCAGCCGCGGUAAUACGUAGGGGGCAAGCGUUAUCCGGAUUUACUGGGUGGAAAGGGAGCGUAGACGGCAGCGCAAGUCUGGAGUGAAAUGCCGGGGCCCAACCCCGGAACUGCUCUGGAAACUGUGAAGCUGGAGUGCAGGAGAGGUAAGCGGAAUUCCUGGUGUAGCGGUGAAAUGCGUAGAUAUCAGGAGGAACACCGGCGGCGAAGGCGGCUUACUGGACUGUAACUGACGUUGAGGCUCGAAGGCGUGGGGAGCAAACAGGAUUAGAUACCCUGGUAGUC
RNAcentral lists this ribosomal RNA (440 nucleotides) under uncultured bacterium. Its description in RNAcentral is "partial 16S ribosomal RNA". It matches the Rfam family "Bacterial small subunit ribosomal RNA", at positions 338 to 795 of the family's 1533-position model. The record is from RNAcentral.